Molecule: transfer RNA, 61 nt
Filed under: Systropus sp. 2 YXA-2022a
Lineage: Eukaryota; Metazoa; Arthropoda; Insecta; Diptera; Bombyliidae
Description: tRNA-Pro
Source: RNAcentral
CAAAAGAUAGUUUAAAAAAAAUAUUAAUUUUGGAGAUUAAAGAUAAGUUUAUUUCUUUUGA